CCUACGGGGGGCAGCAGUGAGGAAUAUUGGUUAAUGGCCGGAAGGCUGAACCAGCCAUGCCGCGUGAAGGUCAGUGCCCUAUGGGCGUUAAACUUCUUUUGUGCGGGAGCAAUAAUGGUCACGUGUGGCCAGACGAGAGUACCGUACGAAUAAGCAUCGGCUAACUCCGUGCCAGCAGCCGCGGUAAUACGUGGGAUGCAAGCGUUAUCCGGAUUUAUUGGGUUUAAAGGGUGCGUAGGCUGUGAGGUAAGUCCUCGGGGAAAUGCCCCCGCGCAACGGGGUGAAGUGCCAUUGAUACUGCCUUGCUGGAAUGCGGAUGCCGUAGGAGGAAUGUGUGGUGUAGCGGUGAAAUGCAGAGAUAUCACACAGAACACCGAUUGCGAAGGCAGCUCACGAAUCCGCGAUUGACGCUGAUGCACGAAAGCGUGGGUAUCAAACAGGAUUAGAUACCCCAGUAGUC
RNAcentral lists this ribosomal RNA (460 nucleotides) under uncultured bacterium. RNAcentral's name for it is "partial 16S ribosomal RNA". It matches the Rfam family "Bacterial small subunit ribosomal RNA", at positions 338 to 795 of the family's 1533-position model. The record is from RNAcentral.